GAUGAACGCUAGCGGCAGGCUUCACACAUGCAAGUUCGAGGGGUAAACGAAGGUGCUCGCACCAGGCGACGACCGGCGCACGGGUGAGUAACGCGUAUGCAACCUACCUCAAACAGGGGGAUAACCCGGGGAAAACUCGGAACUAAUACCCCAUAAUCUUGUAAUACCGCAUGAUAUUACAAAUAAAGUUACGGCGGUUUGAGAUGGGCAUGCGUGCCAUUAGAUAGUUGGAGUGGUAACGGCACACCAAGUCAAUGAUGGCUACGGGGUCUAAAAGGAUGGUCCCGCACACUGGUACUGAGACACGGACCAGACUCCUACGGGAGGCAGCAGUGGGGAAAUAUUGGUCAAUGGACGCAAGUCUGAACCAGCCAUGCCGCGUGAAGGAAGUACAGCCCUAUGGGUCGUAAACUUCUUUUUAUACAGGAAUAAAAUUAGAUACGUGUAUUUAACUGAAUGUACUGUAUGAAUAAGCAUCGGCUAACUCCGUGCCCACAGCCGCGGUAAUACGGAGGAUGCAGGCGUUAUCCGGAUCUAUUAGGUUUAAAGGGUGCGCAGGCGGGAUAUUAAGUCAGUGGUGAAAGUUCUUCAGCUUAACUGAAAAAUUGCCAUUGAUACUGGUAUUCUUGAGUAUGGUAGAGGUAGGCGGAAUGUGUAGUGUAGCGGUGAAAUGCUUAGAUAUUACACAGAACACCGAUUGCGAAGGCAGCUUACUAUACCACAACUGACGCUGAGGCACGAAAGCGUGGGUAGCGAACAGGAUUAGAUACCCUGGUAGUCCACGCCGUAAACGAUGAUAACUGGUUGUGUGCGAUACACAGUACGUGACUGAGCGAAAGCAUUAAGUUAUCCACCUGGGGAGUACGUUGGCAACAAUGAAACUCAAAGGAAUUGACGGGGGCCCGCACAAGCGGAGGAACAUGUGGUUUAAUUCGAUGAUACGCGAGGAACCUUACCUGGGCUUAAAUGUAUAGUGCAUUAUUUAGAAAUAGAUAUUUCCUUCGGGACUCUAUACAAGGUGCUGCAUGGUUGUCGUCAGCUCGUGCCGUGAGGUGUCGGGUUAAGUCCCAUAACGAGCGCAACCCCUAUCGUUAGUUGCUAGCAGGUCAAGCUGAGGACUCUAACGAGACUGCCGGUGUAAACCGCGAGGAAGGUGGGGAUGACGUCAAAUCAGCACGGCCCUUAUGUCCAGGGCUACACACGUGUUACAAUGGUCAAUACAAAGGGCAGCUACUUGGCAACAAGAUGCAAAUCUCAAAAGUUGAUCACAGUUCGGAUUGGAGUCUGCAACUCGACUCCAUGAAGUUGGAUUCGCUAGUAAUCGUAUAUCAGCAAUGAUACGGUGAAUACGUUCCCGGGCCU
This 1362-nucleotide ribosomal RNA is filed under the name uncultured bacterium. Its description in RNAcentral is "bacterial SSU rRNA". It matches the Rfam family "Bacterial small subunit ribosomal RNA", at positions 28 to 1381 of the family's 1533-position model. The record is from RNAcentral.